RNAcentral lists this ribosomal RNA (1346 nucleotides) under uncultured bacterium. Its description in RNAcentral is "partial 16S ribosomal RNA". It matches the Rfam family "Bacterial small subunit ribosomal RNA", at positions 28 to 1381 of the family's 1533-position model. The record is from RNAcentral.
GACGAACGCUGGCGGCGUGCUUAACACAUGCAAGUCGAACGGAAAGGCCCUGCUUUUGUGGGGUGCUCGAGUGGCGAACGGGUGAAUAACACGUGAGUAACCUGCCCUUGACUUUGGGAUAACUUCAGGAAACUGGGGCUAAUACCGGAUAGGAGCUCCUGCUGCAUGGUGGGGGUUGGAAAGUUUCGGCGGUUGGGGAUGGACUCGCGGCUUAUCAGCUUGUUGGUGGGGUAGUGGCUUACCAAGGCUUUGACGGGUAGCCGGCCUGAGAGGGUGACCGGCCACAUUGGGACUGAGAUACGGCCCAGACUCCUACGGGAGGCAGCAGUGGGGAAUAUUGCACAAUGGGCGGAAGCCUGAUGCAGCAACGCCGCGUGCGGGGUGACGGCCUUCGGGUUGUAAACCGCUUUCGCCUGUGACGAAGCGUGAGUGACGGUAAUGGGUAAAGAAGCACCGGCUAACUACGUGCCAGCAGCCGCGGUGAUACGUAGGGUGCGAGCGUUGUCCGGAUUUAUUGGGCGUAAAGGGCUCGUAGGUGGUUGAUCGCGUCGGAAGUGUAAUCUUGGGGCUUAACCCUGAGCGUGCUUUCGAUACGGGUUGACUUGAGGAAGGUAGGGGAGAAUGGAAUUCCUGGUGGAGCGGUGGAAUGCGCAGAUAUCAGGAGGAACACCAGUGGCGAAGGCGGUUCUCUGGGCCUUUCCUGACGCUGAGGAGCGAAAGCGUGGGGAGCGAACAGGCUUAGAUACCCUGGUAGUCCACGCUGUAAACGGUGGGUACUAGGUGUGGGGUCCAUUCCACGGGUUCCGUGCCGUAGCUAACGCUUUAAGUACCCCGCCUGGGGAGUACGGCCGCAAGGCUAAAACUCAAAGGAAUUGACGGGGCCCCGCACAAGCGGCGGAGCAUGCGGAUUAAUUCGAUGCAACGCGUAGAACCUUACCUGGGUUUGACAUGGAUCGGGAGUGCUCAGAGAUGGGUGUGCCUCUUUUGGGGUCGGUUCACAGGUGGUGCAUGGCUGUCGUCAGCUCGUGUCGUGAGAUGUUGGGUUAAGUCCCGCAACGAGCGCAACCCUUGUUCACUGUUGCCAGCACGUUAUGGUGGGGACUCAGUGGAGACCGCCGGGGUCAACUCGGAGGAAGGUGGGGAUGACGUCAAGUCAUCAUGCCCCUUAUGUCCAGGGCUUCACGCAUGCUACAAUGGCUGGUACAGAGAGUGGCGAGCCUGUGAGGGUGAGCGAAUCUCGGAAAGCCGGUCUCAGUUCGGAUUGGGGUCUGCAACUCGACCUCAUGAAGUCGGAGUCGCUAGUAAUCGCAGAUCAGCAACGCUGCGGUGAAUACGUUCCCGGGGCU